This 468-nucleotide ribosomal RNA is filed under the name uncultured bacterium. Its description in RNAcentral is "partial 16S ribosomal RNA". It matches the Rfam family "Bacterial small subunit ribosomal RNA", at positions 28 to 507 of the family's 1533-position model. The record is from RNAcentral.
GACGAACGCUGGCGGCGUGCUUAACACAUGCAAGUCGAACGGAAAGGCCCUGCUUUUGUUGGGUGCUCGAGUGGCGAACGGGUGAGUAACACGUGAGUAACCUGCCCUUGACUUUGGGAUAACUUCAGGAAACUGGGGCUAAUACCGGAUAGGAGCUCCUGCUGCAUGGUGGGGGAUGGAAAGUUUCGGCGGUUGGGGCUGUACUAGCUGCUUAUCAGCUUGUUGGUGGGGUAGUGGCUUUCCAAGGCUUUGACGGGUACGCGGCCUGGGAGGGUGACCGGCCACAUUGGGACUGCGAUACGGACCAGACUCGUACGGGAGGCAGCAGUGGGGAAUAUUGCACAAUGGGCGGAAGCCAGAUGCAGCAACGCCGCGUGCGGGAUGACGGCCUUCGGGUUGUAAACCGCUUUCGCAUGUGACGAAGCGUGAGUGACGGUAAUGGGUAAAGAAGCACCGGCUAACUACGUG